AUGGCAGCUCGGCGUAGUGGUGCGGUGGUGGCAGCGUUGAUGGUGGUGGCGGCGGCGCUGGUCGGGCUCGCUGGCGCCGACUUCGCGGCGGACAGGGCGGAGUGCGCGGACAAGCUGAUGGGGCUGGCGACGUGCCUGACGUACGUGCAGCUGGCGGCGACGGCGCGGUCGCCCACGCCGGACUGCUGCUCCGGGUUCCGGCAGGUGCUGGCCGCAAGCAAGAAGUGCCUGUGCGUGCUGGUCAAGGACCGCGACGAGCCCACCCUGGGGAUCAAGUUCAACGUCACCCGCGCCAUGAACCUCCCCUCCGCCUGCAACAUCCCCGCCACCUUCUCCGACUGCCCCAAGAUCCUCAACAUGUCGCCGGACUCCAAGGAGGCCGAGAUCUUCAAGCAGUACGGGAUCGAGCACGAGGGCAAGAACGCCACCGCCGGCGGCGCCGCCACCGGUACCUCCGGCGCGAAGAGCGCCGACGCGGCGGCCGGUGCAGGGAGGCACGCGGUGGUCUUCGCCGUCGUCGUCUCGGCGCUGCUCGCCUCCCUCUUUGUUCUCGCGUGA
Molecule: ribosomal RNA, 558 nt
Filed under: Triticum aestivum (bread wheat)
Lineage: Eukaryota; Viridiplantae; Streptophyta; Magnoliopsida; Poales; Poaceae
Description: partial small subunit ribosomal RNA
Source: RNAcentral